UGUAUGAUCAGGUGUUUCAUGUCAUGUUCAGUUCUGGAGUGGUAAAUGAAUGUUGUAUAAUCAGGUGUCACAUGUCAUGUUCAGUACUGGAAUGGGUAAACUGGAAUGGGUAAUGAAUGCUGCAUGUCACAUGUCAUGUUCAAUACAAGAGUGGUAAAUGUAUGUGGUAUAAUCAGGGGUCACAUGUCAUAUUCAGUUCAAGAGUGGUAAAUGCAGGUUUUAUGAUCAGGUGUCACAUGUCAUAUUCAGUACAGAAGUGGUUAAUGAAUGUUGUAGAAUCAGGUGUCACAUGACAUGUUUAGAACAGGAGUGGUCAAUGAAUGUUGUAGAAUCAGGUGUCACAUGACAUAUUUAGAACAGGAGUGGUUAAUGAAAGUUGUAUGAUCAGGUGUCAUGUCUCAAGUCAUGGUCAUGCAAGACUUUUUUUUGAACCAAAGUAAUGUUUUUUGUGUAGAAUACUAUGUUACGUGUAAUGAAG
RNAcentral lists this long non-coding RNA (478 nucleotides) under Mytilus galloprovincialis (Mediterranean mussel). The record is from RNAcentral. Lineage: Eukaryota; Metazoa; Mollusca; Bivalvia; Mytilida; Mytilidae.